This 611-nucleotide ribosomal RNA is filed under the name uncultured Bacteroidales bacterium. RNAcentral describes it as "bacterial SSU rRNA". It matches the Rfam family "Bacterial small subunit ribosomal RNA", at positions 100 to 708 of the family's 1533-position model. The record is from RNAcentral. Lineage: Bacteria; Pseudomonadati; Bacteroidota; Bacteroidia; Bacteroidales.
GCACGGGUGAGUAACGCGUAUGCAACUUGCCUAUCAGAGGGGGAUAACCCGGCGAAAGUCGGACUAAUACCGCAUGAAGCAGGGAUCCCGCAUGGGAAUAUUUGCUAAAGAUUCAUCGCUGAUAGAUAGGCAUGCGUUCCAUUAGUUUGUUGGCGGGGUAACGGCCCACCAAGACUACGAUGGAUAGGGGUUCUGAGAGGAAGGUCCCCCACAUUGGAACUGAGACACGGUCCAAACUCCUACGGGAGGCAGCAGUGAGGAAUAUUGGUCAAUGGGCGAGAGCCUGAACCAGCCAAGUAGCGUGAAGGAUGAAGGCUCUAUGGGUCGUAAACUUCUUUUAUAUGGGAAUAAAGUUUUCCACGUGUGGAAUUUUGUAUGUACCAUAUGAAUAAGGAUCGGCUAACUCCGUGCCAGCAGCCGCGGUAAUACGGAGGAUCCGAGCGUUAUCCGGAUUUAUUGGGUUUAAAGGGAGCGUAGGUGGAUUGUUAAGUCAGUUGUGAAAGUUUGCGGCUCAACCGUAAAAUUGCAGUUGAAACUGGCAGUCUUGAGUACAGUAGAGGUGGGCGGAAUUCGUGGUGUAGCGGUGAAAUGCUUAGAUAUCACGAAGAACU